Molecule: ribosomal RNA, 843 nt
Filed under: uncultured bacterium
Lineage: Bacteria
Description: bacterial SSU rRNA
Rfam family: Bacterial small subunit ribosomal RNA
Source: RNAcentral
GGCGACGACCGGCGCACGGGUGAGUAACGCGUAUGCAACCUGCCUUGUACAGGGGGAUAGCCCGGAGAAAUCCGGAUUAAUACCGCAUAAUGAUGUUUUCCUGCAUGGGAAAAUAUUUAAACCUUUUUGGGGUACAAGAUGGGCAUGCGUAGCAUUAGCUUGUUGGUGAGGUAACGGCUCACCAAGGCGAUGAUGCUUAGGGGGUCUGAGAGGAUAGUCCCCCACACUGGUACUGAGACACGGACCAGACUCCUACGGGAGGCAGCAGUGAGGAAUAUUGGUCAAUGGACGCAAGUCUGAACCAGCCAUGUCGCGUGCAGGAUGACGGCCCUAUGGGUUGUAAACUGCUUUUUUACGGGAAUAAACGCAUCUACGUGUAGGUGUCUGAAGGUACCGUAUGAAUAAGGAUCGGCUAACUCCGUGCCAGCAGCCGCGGUAAUACGGAGGAUUCGAGCGUUAUCCGGAUUUAUUGGGUUUAAAGGGUCCGUAGGCGAGCUUGUAAGUCAGUGGUGAAAUCCCGGAGCUCAACUCCGGAACUGCCAUUGAUACUGCAGGUCUUGAAUUUAGUUGAGGUGGGCGGAAUACGUUAUGUAGCGGUGAAAUGCAUAGAUAUAACGUAGAACACCGAUGCGAAGGCAGCUCACUAAGCUAAUAUUGACGCUGAUGGACGAAAGCGUGGGGAGCGAACAGGAUUAGAUACCCUGGUAGUCCGCGCCGUAAACGAUGAUUACUCGUUGUGCGCGAUACACAGUGCGCGACUGAGCGAAAGCAUUAAGUAAUCCACCUGGGGAGUACGUUGGCAACAAUGAAACUCAAGGAAUUGACGGGGCCCGCACAAGCGGA